UACGUAGGGGGCAAGCGUUGUCCGGAAUUAUUGGGCGUAAAGAGCGUGUAGGCGGCCAGGUAGGUCCGGUGUGAAAACUCGAGGCUUAACCUCGAGAUGUCAUCGGAAACCAUCUGGCUAGAGUCCGGAAGAGGAGAGUGGAAUUCCUGGUGUAGCGGUGAAAUGCGCAGAUAUCAGGAAGAACACCAAUGGCGAAGGCAGCGCUCUGGGACGGUACUGACGCUGAGACGCGAAAGCGUGGGGAGCGAACAGG
Molecule: ribosomal RNA, 253 nt
Filed under: uncultured bacterium
Lineage: Bacteria
Description: partial 16S ribosomal RNA
Rfam family: Bacterial small subunit ribosomal RNA
Source: RNAcentral